This 255-nucleotide ribosomal RNA is filed under the name uncultured bacterium. Its description in RNAcentral is "partial 16S ribosomal RNA". It matches the Rfam family "Bacterial small subunit ribosomal RNA", at positions 99 to 354 of the family's 1533-position model. The record is from RNAcentral.
CGGACGGGUGAGUAACGCGUGAGGAACCUGCCUUUCAGUGGGGGACAACAGUUGGAAACGGCUGCUAAUACCGCAUAACGUACUGGUAUCGCAUGGUACUGGUACCAAAGAUUUAUCGCUGAGAGAUGGCCUCGCGUCUGAUUAGCUAGUUGGUAGGGUAACGGCCUACCAAGGCGACGAUCAGUAGCCGGACUGAGAGGUUGGCCGGCCACAUUGGGACUGAGAUACGGCCCAGACUCCUACGGAAGGCAGCAG